This 490-nucleotide ribosomal RNA is filed under the name uncultured bacterium. RNAcentral's name for it is "partial 16S ribosomal RNA". It matches the Rfam family "Bacterial small subunit ribosomal RNA", at positions 30 to 507 of the family's 1533-position model. The record is from RNAcentral.
AUUGAACGCUGGCGGCAGGCCUAACACAUGCGAGUCGAACGGUAACAGGAAGAAGCUUGCUUCUUUGCUGACGAGUGGCGGACGGGUGAGUAAUGUCUGGGAAACUGCCUGAUGGAGGGGGAUAACUACUGGAAACGGUAGCUAAUACCGCAUAACGUCGCAAGACAAAAGAGGGGGACCUUCGGGCCUCUUGCCAUCGGAUGUGCCCAGAUGGGAUUAGCUAGUAGGUGGGGUAACGGCUCACCUAGGCGACGAUCCCUAGCUGGUCUGAGAGGAUGACCAGCCACACUGGAACUGAGACACGGUCCAGACUCAUACGGGAAGCAGCAGUGGGGAAUAUUGAACAAUGGGCGCAAGCCUGAUGCAGCCAUGCCGCGUGUAUGAAGAAGGCCUUCGGGUUGUAAAGUACUUUCAGCGGGGAGGAAAGGAGUAAAGUUAAUACCUUUGCUCAUUGACGUUACCCGCAGAAGAAGCACCGGCUAACUCCGUG